AUACAAUGAAGAGUUUGAUCCUGGCUCAGGAUGAACGCUAGCGGCAGGCCUAACACAUGCAAGUCGAGGGGCAGCGGGGAAAAGCUUGCUUUUCUGCCGGCGACCGGCGCACGGGUGCGGAACGCGUAUGGAACCUGCCCCUGUCAGGGGAAUAGCCCAGGGAAACUUGGAUUAAUGCCCCAUGGUAUCAUUUUAUCGCAUGAUAGGGUGAUUAAAGAUUUAUCGGACAGGGAUGGCCAUGCGUACCAUUAGUUAGUUGGUGGGGUAACGGCCCACCAAGGCAGCGAUGGUUAGGGGCCCUGAGAGGGGGAUCCCCCACACUGGUACUGAGACACGGACCAGACUCCUACGGGAGGCAGCAGUGAGGAAUAUUGGACAAUGG
This 382-nucleotide ribosomal RNA is filed under the name Allomuricauda sp. RNAcentral describes it as "bacterial SSU rRNA". It matches the Rfam family "Bacterial small subunit ribosomal RNA", at positions 1 to 374 of the family's 1533-position model. Lineage: Bacteria; Pseudomonadati; Bacteroidota; Flavobacteriia; Flavobacteriales; Flavobacteriaceae. The record is from RNAcentral.